This 279-nucleotide ribosomal RNA is filed under the name uncultured bacterium. RNAcentral's name for it is "partial 16S ribosomal RNA". It matches the Rfam family "Bacterial small subunit ribosomal RNA", at positions 506 to 784 of the family's 1533-position model. The record is from RNAcentral.
UGCCAGCAGCCGCGGUAAUACGGAGGGUGCGAUCGUGAAUCGGAAUCACUGGGCGUAAAGCGCGCGUAGGCGGUCGCGUAAGUCGGAUGUGAAAGCCCUCGGCUUAACCGAGGAAGUGCAUUCGAAACUGCGUGACUUGAGUAUGGGAGAGGGUUGUGGAAUUCCCGGUGUAGAGGUGAAAUUCGUAGAUAUCGGGAGGAACACCAGUGGCGAAGGCGACAACCUGGACCAAUACUGACGCGGAGGUGAGAACGCGUGGGGCGCAAACAGGAGUAGAUA